Molecule: ribosomal RNA, 459 nt
Filed under: uncultured bacterium
Lineage: Bacteria
Description: partial 16S ribosomal RNA
Rfam family: Bacterial small subunit ribosomal RNA
Source: RNAcentral
CCUACGGGAGGCAGCAGUGAGGAAUAUUGGUCAAUGGUCGGGAGACUGAACCAGCCAAGCCGCGUGAGGGAUGAAGGUACAGAGUAUCGUAAACCUCUUUUGUCAGGGAACAAAGGCGGGGACGCGUCCCCGGAUGAGUGUACCUGAAGAAAAAGCAUCGGCUAACUCCGGCCCAGCAGCCGCGGUAAUACGGAGACUGCGAGCGUUAUCAGGAUUUAUUGGGUUUAAAGGGUGCGCAGGCGGUCUGUUAAGUCAGCGGUCAAAGCCCGGGGCUCAACCCCGGCCCGCCGUUGAAACUGGCAGUCGCGAGUUGGAGAGAAGUAUGCGGAAUGCGCGGUGUAGCGGUGAAAUGCAUAGAUAUCGCGCAGAACUCCGAUUGCGAAGGCAGCAUGCCGGCUCCACACUGACGCUGAGGCACGAAAGCGUGGGUAUCGAACAGGAUUAGAUACCCUUGUAGUC